GGAGAUCCUGUGCCCUAGCGGAGUGAGA
RNAcentral lists this small RNA (28 nucleotides) under Bombyx mori (domestic silkworm). RNAcentral's name for it is "ovarian small RNA-17309". The record is from RNAcentral. Lineage: Eukaryota; Metazoa; Arthropoda; Insecta; Lepidoptera; Bombycidae.